RNAcentral lists this ribosomal RNA (467 nucleotides) under uncultured bacterium. RNAcentral describes it as "bacterial SSU rRNA". It matches the Rfam family "Bacterial small subunit ribosomal RNA", at positions 30 to 490 of the family's 1533-position model. The record is from RNAcentral.
AUUGAACGCUGGCGGCAUGCCUUACACAUGCAAGUCGAACGGCAGCACGGGAGCAAUCCUGGUGGCGAGUGGCGAACGGGUGAGUAAUAUAUCGGAACGUGCCCAGUCGUGGGGAUAACGUAGCGAAAGCUACGCUAAUACCGCAUACGAUCUAUGGAUGAAAGCGGGGGAUCGCAAGACCUCGCGCGAUUGGAGCGGCCGAUAUCAGAUUAGGUAGUUGGUGAGGUAAAGGCUCACCAAGCCGACGAUCUGUAGCUGGUCUGAGAGGACGACCAGCCACACUGGGACUGAGACACGGCCCAGACUCCUACGGGAGGCAGCAGUGGGGAAUUUUGGACAAUGGGCGCAAGCCUGAUCCAGCAAUGCCGCGUGCAGGAUGAAGGCCUUCGAGUUGUAAACUGCUUUUGUACGGUAACGAAACGGUGAGCUCUAAUACAGUUUGCUAAUGACGGUACCGUAAGAAUAAG